UUUCCCCUGUGAAGGAGCACAAAGCACGUUGUACGGGUACUUUCCAUACAUUCCCUGGGCUGGCAGAUGACUACAUUUGUAGAUCAAUAUUGCAACAGAAAAGUAAGUUUUUGUAGUUAUUGACAAGUUAACUGUUUACGCUCUCCUGUAAGUGUACGGGCAAUGUACUUUUCAAUAGUCAGGCUGGCUAAUGUUUUAAAUUGGCUCUUUAUAAAAAUAUAUAGUGCCUGAUGGGAAAAAGUCUCUGGCUACAGCAGCAAACCUGCCCUAGCUGUUACCCAGCUAGCAAUCUACUAAUAGGUACCUCCAUGGCAUACCAGGGGCAGAAGAAUCAUAGUGGGUGAACAGAGAUGUGAUAUUGGCAUCAGAGCUGGCUGUGACACUUGCACAUUAUUCUUUAGCUUAUUAUUUACAUUAAUAGAGUUAGAUAAAUAACUAGCAUCACAUAACAGGGAAUGAAAGAGUCUAGUAGGAGUUGCUGGAUUGAGAUUUUUAUGUCUUUAGAUUAGGAAACUGUUGGUCCAAUGGGCUGAGCCCCACCUCCUCAAAGUUCACUGCUCAAAUUCAUCUAUUGCUUGCUGUAUGCUGUUAAGGUGUUGGGUAUUACUCGACACAAACCACAAAUCUUAUGCCUGCAAAUUCUGGAAGCAUAAAUGCAUUACGGUGGACUAAAGACGCUCAGUUCAGAUGCACAAGGGCUUCUAUGGCAAGAACUGUUUUCACAGAAUUGGGACCGGGUUGCAAAAUUUAAUUUCCAGCUGGAAAACAUCACCAAGCUCCGAUGUGGUAAGUGAAAUUAAACCCAGACACAAUCUCCCCAUGGUUUUGCUUUUAACGCAGAGGGCGGCUCUGCUUCCCCAGGGUCUGCGUCAAAAGAAACACACAGAACUUACCCGCUGGCAUUCUGUGAGCUUCCACCUGCGGGGCCGUCUUUGUCAACGUGAAGGCAGAUUUAGGUUCCUCUGAUAUAUCUCCACAUACUUCAUCAUCUUUCUGUAAGCUCUCUAUUCCUUCCCCUUCCUCCUCCUCCUCUUCCUCAGGCUCAGAGUUCUCUUCCUGGGAAUUCUCUUCUUCAGAAUCUCCUUCUUGGCUUAAACGCCUCUCUGUUGCAAGCCAAGUAAGCUUUUCCAUUGUCUCCUUAGAAAGCAACAACAAAACCAACUCACAUUAUUUUCUUUUAGGGUCUGUUUUCAUUACAUUCUAGCUCACUCCAUCAUCAUUCUAACAGCCAAUUUCGCAGAUCAGCACCUGACCAACUAGAGGAUUCUACUGAAGGGACAGAAUUCAACAACAACCAGAACUCUCACACAAAAUUCCAGAAUCUGACGCUUAUUAUUACACCUUAAGUAUUAUAUUACUAAGCCUUAAGUUAGACAGGAUUCCUUAACGAUCAUGUUAAUUCUUAAAGGCUUGCUGGAAUUGUGACCUGGAAAAUAAUUUUCACUUAAAGUACUUCUUACUAACUAACAGCCUCAGCUGAGGAAGUCCUUACAACUCAGCAGAAUCUGCAUAUUUGCAAGAUAUUCCUUUAGCUUGGACUUAAAAAUCUUCUCAGAAAAAAAAAUUGCAGUGUCCAGUUUCUCUGUAAACCGGCACAAUGCCACGCUAUUGCAGUUACUAGUCCAGCUUUCCAACUGGCUGCAAACUGUGCUUUGCCCCGACUCCACUAGGGUGUUUCAGGACACCAGUAUUUGUCGUUAGCAAGAUUUUUAAAAGUUUUGUUUGCUUUUACCUGAAGUUCUGGCACAGAAAGAAUAGAUUCUUCUGAGGCUGAUGACAUUUCUUCAUCCUCGUCUUGUGUAAAAUCAUCAAAGUCAUCUUCUUCCUCUUCUUCUUGCCCUUCUCUCUCUCCCCCAGCUUCAGGGCCAG
Non-coding RNA from Phalacrocorax carbo (great cormorant), 1869 nucleotides. The record is from RefSeq and is a predicted model, not a curated record. Lineage: Eukaryota; Metazoa; Chordata; Aves; Suliformes; Phalacrocoracidae.